Molecule: ribosomal RNA, 495 nt
Filed under: uncultured bacterium
Lineage: Bacteria
Description: partial 16S ribosomal RNA
Rfam family: Bacterial small subunit ribosomal RNA
Source: RNAcentral
GACGAACGCUGGCGGCGUGCCUAAUACAUGCAAGUAGAACGCUGAAGGAGGAGCUUGCUCUUCUGGAUGAGUUGCGAACGGGUGAGUAACGCGUAGGUAACCUGCCUGGUAGCGGGGGAUAACUAUUGGAAACGAUAGCUAAUACCGCAUAAGAGUAGAUGUUGCAUGACAUUUGCUUAAAAGGUGCAAUUGCAUCACUACCAGAUGGACCUGCGUUGUAUUAGCUAGUUGGUGGGGUAACGGCUCACCAAGGCGACGAUACAUAGCCGACCUGAGAGGGGGAUCCGCCACACUGGGACUGAGACACGGCCCAGACUCCUACGGGAGGCAGCAGUAGGGAAUCUUCGGCAAUGGACGGAAGUCUGACCGAGCAACGCCGCGUGAGUGAAGAAGGUUUUCGGAUCGUAAAGCUCUGUUGUAAGAGAAGAACGAGUGUGAGAGUGGAAAGUUCACACUGUGACGGUAGCUUACCAGAAAGGGACGGCUAACUACGUG